GAGGACCGCCGCAACGAGAGAGGUCAUGGUAUUUCAGGAUGUUCCGGGUCCGGAAUUGUUGCCGAGGACCGUCGCAACGAUUGGGGCCAUGGAAAUGGAUGUAAAGUUAAAUUUUAGGUGCCUAGGCUGGACGAUAUUUGGAGAUAUGUUUUUCAGGUAGGCUAUUCUGAAGGU
Molecule: long non-coding RNA, 174 nt
Organism: Drosophila mauritiana
Lineage: Eukaryota; Metazoa; Arthropoda; Insecta; Diptera; Drosophilidae
Exons: 3
Source: RefSeq, a predicted model, not a curated record